AUUGAACGCUAGCGGGAUGCCUUACACAUGCAAGUCGAACGGAGUGGCGAACGGGUGAGUAAUGUAUCGGAACGUGCCCAGUAGCGGGGGAUAACUACGCGAAAGCGUAGCUAAUACCGCAUACUAUUGGAGCGGCCGAUAUCGGAUUAGCUAGUUGGGGGGGUAACGGCUCACCAAGGCGACGAUCCGUAGCUGGUUUGAGAGGACGACCAGCCCACACUGGAAUGAGACACGGGCCAGACCUCUAAGGGAGGCAGGAGUGGGGAAUUUGUGGAAAAGGGGGAAACCCUGAUCCAGCCAUCCCGCGUGUGCGAUGAAGGCCUUCGGGUUGUAAAGCACUUUUGGCAGGAAAGCGGUACCUGCAGAAUAAGCACCGGCUAACUACGUGCCAGCAGCCGCGGUAAUAC
This 407-nucleotide ribosomal RNA is filed under the name uncultured bacterium. RNAcentral's name for it is "partial 16S ribosomal RNA". It matches the Rfam family "Bacterial small subunit ribosomal RNA", at positions 30 to 526 of the family's 1533-position model. The record is from RNAcentral.